CAGUAGCCGCGGGAAUACAGAGGGUGCGAGCGUUAAUCGGAUUUACUGGGCGUAAAGCGUGCGUAGGCGGUUUGUUAAGUUGGAUGUGAAAGCCCCGGGCUCAACCUGGGAACUGCAUCCAAAACUGGCAAGCUAGAGUACGGUAGAGGGUGGUGGAAUUUCCUGUGUAGCGGUGAAAUGCGUAGAUAUAGGAAGGAACACCAGUGGCGAAGGCGACCACCUGGACUGAUACUGACACUGAGGUGCGAAAGCGUGGGGAGCAAACAGGAUUAGAUACCCCCGUAGUCCCUGUCUCUUAUAC
RNAcentral lists this ribosomal RNA (301 nucleotides) under uncultured bacterium. Its description in RNAcentral is "partial 16S ribosomal RNA". It matches the Rfam family "Bacterial small subunit ribosomal RNA", at positions 509 to 807 of the family's 1533-position model. The record is from RNAcentral.